UGGUGGUGAUAUGGGCAUCUUAUCAAUAAAAAAAUUGAAUCUUUCCCAUGCUUGGUAUAAGUUCUCUCCUCCCUUCUAUUUGAAGCUCAAAAUCUCACUUUGCAAUUU
Small nucleolar RNA from Solanum dulcamara, 108 nucleotides. NCBI's taxonomy places the organism in Eukaryota, Viridiplantae, Streptophyta, Magnoliopsida, Solanales, Solanaceae. The record is from RefSeq and is a predicted model, not a curated record.